Molecule: ribosomal RNA, 498 nt
Filed under: uncultured bacterium
Lineage: Bacteria
Description: bacterial SSU rRNA
Rfam family: Bacterial small subunit ribosomal RNA
Source: RNAcentral
ACGCGAAAGCCUCCUUCGGGGGGCAAGUAGAGUGGCGCACGGGUGAGUAACACGUAGGUAAUCUACCUUUGGAUUGGGAAUAACCACCGGAAACGGUGGCUAAUACCGAAUAAUGCAGCGGCACCUAAUGGUGACAGUUGUUAAAGCGGGGGAUCGCAAGACCUCGCGUCUAAAGAGGAGCCUGCGGCGGAUUAGCUAGUUGGUAAGGUAACGGCUUACCAAGGCGAUGAUCCGUAGCCGGCCUGAGAGGGCGGUCGGCCACACUGACACUGACAUACGGGUCAGACUCCUACGGGAGGCAGCAGUCGGGAAUUUUGGGCAAUGGGCGAAAGCCUGACCCAGCAACGCCGCGUGAAGGAUGAAAUCCCUCGGGAUGUAAACUUCGCAAGAACGGGAAGAAUAAGUAAGAGUUAAUAUCUCUUACGAUGACGGUACUGUUUGUAAGCUCCGGCUAACUCCGUGCCAGCAGCCGCGGUAAUACGGGGGGAGCAAGCGUUG